UACGUAGGCAGCGAGCGUUGUUCGGAGUUACUGGGCGUAAAGCGUGCGUAGGCGGUGGUCCAAGUCUGGUGUGGAAAUCUCCCGGCUCAACUGGGAGGGUGCGCCGGAAACUGGGCCGCUGGAGUACGGGAGAGGCAAGCGGAAUUCCAGGUGUAGCGGUGAAAUGCGUAGAUAUCUGGAGGAACACCCGUGGUGCAGACGGCUUGCUGGACCGUGACUGACGCUGAGGCACGAAAGCGUGGGUAGCAAACAGG
This 254-nucleotide ribosomal RNA is filed under the name uncultured bacterium. RNAcentral describes it as "partial 16S ribosomal RNA". It matches the Rfam family "Bacterial small subunit ribosomal RNA", at positions 524 to 776 of the family's 1533-position model. The record is from RNAcentral.